Molecule: long non-coding RNA, 1409 nt
Filed under: Nicotiana benthamiana
Lineage: Eukaryota; Viridiplantae; Streptophyta; Magnoliopsida; Solanales; Solanaceae
Description: long non-coding RNA (NBEN_LNC041870)
Source: RNAcentral
UGACAAACUUCAAUCUAUAACAUUUCAGGUUCUUGCAAACAGUUUGCGCUAUUACUUAAGGAGACCAACAACAGAAGAGUCAAGUUUUUAAUACAGUGCAGAAUGAGAGAAAAUAACCAGUUGGUUUAACCAUGCAAUUUUUAACUGUCGCAGCAAAAGCAUGCUGAAACAUGCAUGAAAUCUGGAAAUAUAGUUCUCAUUACUGCGUUAACAUUGUAAAAUGCUACCAUCUAUACCUCAUCUGUCGCAGCGAAAGCAUGCUGAAACAUGCAUGAAAUCUGGAAAUAUAGUUCUCAUUACUGCGUUAACAUUGUAAAAUGCUACCAUCUAUACCUCAACUUAAUUUGAAUAUACCUCUCAACAAGUAGAAAGAGCCAUUUUCUUCAUCAGUUAUUGCUUAUCACUGCCCAAAUUUGAUUUUACAACUUUAUUUGAUAUCCGUUGAAAUAAACCUAGUGUAAUCUCACAUUGUGGGGUCUUGGCAGAGGCAAAAUCAAGAUUUGAAUUUUAUAGGUUCAGGAUUAUAGCCGUUUAUGUUACUAGGUUCUAACAUUACGGGGUUUGUACAAAAGUUAUUGGGUUCGGCCGAACAUGCAAGAUCUAUGCUAGCUCCGCCCCUGAUUUUUUGGAGGAUAGCGUGUAUGCAAACCUUUUCCCUACCUUGUGUAGGUAGAGAAAGAUUAUUUCGGAUGGACUUUCAGCCAAGUAUAUACUUAAAAUUCUGUGAUCCAAUUAAUUAUCGUGCUACGUCGGAUAAGUACACUAAAGGGAUAAAAGACUCCUUAAUUACCAAGAAAGUUUCUAUUUUCCAGAGAUAAAUUUAUUGGUAAUAAUAUCAAAUUAUGAAAAUGGAAAGGGGAUAAUGAAUUUUGAGGAGUUGGGAGGAUAAGGAAGGCAGAGUAAGCACAGAAAAAUGGACCACAUAUUAUCUAUGGAAAAAGGAUAAGUGGAUCAGUGCAAAUUGCACAGACAGCAGCCCUCAUAAUUUAAGCAGAACGGAUAUUACAAGAGGGGUUAGCUUUGAUAGUAUGCAAUCCCCACUCCCAACCGAGAGGUUAUGAGUUCGAGUCUUCCCAAGAGCAAGGUGGUAAGUCCUUGGAGGGAAGUAUGCCGGGGGUCUAUUUGAAAACAGCCUCUCUAUCCAAGGGAAGGGGUAAGGUAUGCGUACACACUACCCUCCCAGAACCCACUAAAUGGAAAUAUACUGGGUUGUUGUUGUUGUUGGAUAUUCUGCUUCUCCUACCAUAUCCCAAAAUUCGUUUAUCCAUAUUUUAUUUUUGUUGACGAUAUCAAAUGGUCGUUGGAGGAACUAAUUAAUAAUUGUAAGCCAAGGCACCAAUAUUUCAAUUAUUGUCUUGUUUAUAUUUGAAAUAUUAUAACGGUUUUGUUUAUUUUCUUUCAUAUACCGA